This is a non-coding RNA of Podarcis lilfordi (Lilford's wall lizard), 88 nucleotides long. The record is from the annotation of a GenBank genome assembly. NCBI's taxonomy places the organism in Eukaryota, Metazoa, Chordata, Lepidosauria, Squamata, Lacertidae.
GCCUAUAUGGCUGCUUAUCAGGGAUCUGAGUUGCUAUAACAUGAGAUUCUUAAUCUCAGCGUCAUGGGUUUGAGCCCCACCUUGGGCA